This 119-nucleotide ribosomal RNA is filed under the name Chlorocebus sabaeus (green monkey). The record is from RNAcentral. Lineage: Eukaryota; Metazoa; Chordata; Mammalia; Primates; Cercopithecidae.
GUCCAUGGGCCUACCACUAUGAACACGCCUGAUCUCAUCUGAUCUCAGAAGUUAACCAGGAUCAGACCUGGCUAGUACUCGGAUGAGAAGCCAACAGGGAAUACCACGUGCUGUAAGCU